GCUUCCACGGAGGCCUCCGUGUAGGCCGCAGUGAAGCCUGAACUCGAGUAGGGCCCAAGCCAGCCAGGAAGGAGGAGGCAGCCAGAGUGUUCUCUGCAGCAGAAGACCCCCUGCUGCACUGCUUAACCCAGACCAGCAUUUGCCAGCUAGGACAAAAACAUCUUCCUUUCCUGCUAUUGAAAGGCUGCUCUUGAUGUCGACCAGUAUCAGCACCUACAACAGCAGAGCGUGGAGAAGAGAACUUCCUUCCUUCAAGAAAAUCCUUUGAAAAAUGAAAAAUCACAGCACUUCCCUCUUUACUACGUAUAGUGGAAGAAACAAGUGGUGUCUUGGUGAAGUGAAAUCUCAGCCUAAUCCCUGAAAAAGAGAAAUAGUUUGUAUAUAGAAUUCCAUCAAAAUGUCAUUACUAAUCAAAGUAUCCCAUCGAAAUGACAUUAUCAUCUAUAAGCAAGUAGUUCAUGCAGUUAAUUGACUGUAAACAUGAGCAAACAAGAAGAGAAAGAAAGAAGAAACCCUGAUUUCAAGCCUCUGAACAGGAAUGGAGUGGCACAGAUCAUGUUUAAACUUUAACUCCCAGGAUGCUUGUUGCUAAAAUUACUUUGUAUUUUGUAUGCUUGUGUUUUAAAUUUUUAAAUCAGAUUUGUUUGAUAUUGUUAGCUCAAUAUUUUAAUUGUGUCGUUUUUACAAUCUUGUUUUUAAAUUCUGCUGUAAACCGCCUUGGGAUUGUUUUAAUGAAAGGCAGUACAUAAAUUUAACAAUAUAAAUAAAUAAAUGUGGGAGAGCUUGCAGGAAAAAUGGCUUCAUCAUGCUGUCAGUACACAAGCACACUGUGUCUGUCAACAGAGUUGGGAGUGUUCCUGUUAAUUUUUUGAGUAGGUGCAGUAUUCACAACAAACUUGCAUGGUAGUGAAAUGCUAGAAAGAGCUGCCUAAUUUUUCAUUCAAGUAUAGCAUGUGAACCAUUGUCUGGGUGGAAAUAAACUCGGAAAUAAACUUUAUUGGGGAACAAGA
This is a long non-coding RNA of Hemicordylus capensis (graceful crag lizard), 1010 nucleotides long. RefSeq lists it as uncharacterized. The transcript has 4 exons. The record is from RefSeq and is a predicted model, not a curated record. Lineage: Eukaryota; Metazoa; Chordata; Lepidosauria; Squamata; Cordylidae.